UAAAAACCUCAAGCCUGGCUUGGUGUUGGGCCUCUGCGCCUGCAGUCCCUUAAAUCCAGUGGCGGACACGCUAGGUCUCCGAGCGCAGUAGUUUCUUCUCGCUCAGGGCGUCCGGCGUGGGCUUGCCUCGCACCCAUCUUUUACAA
RNAcentral lists this unclassified non-coding RNA (146 nucleotides) under uncultured Ascomycota. RNAcentral describes it as "sequence contains ITS2". Lineage: Eukaryota; Fungi; Ascomycota. The record is from RNAcentral.